GAAGCAGGUUAAUAUUCCUGCACUUUUCUACAGUGCGAUGUGGGGACGGAGAAGGUUAGGUCUACCAGGCGUUGGUUGUCCUGGGGAAAGGCGGUAGGCAUGAUUCUUAGGCAAAUCCGGGAAUCUUUAUGCCGAGCACCGAGACGAGUCCUAUGAGGACGAAGUGACUGACACCACGCUUCCAGGAAAAGCCACUAAGCUUCAGCUGUAGAAAAACCGUACCGUAAACCGACACAGGUAGGCAGGGUGAGAAUCCCAAGGCGCUUGAGAGAACUC
RNAcentral lists this ribosomal RNA (276 nucleotides) under Picochlorum sp. RCC944. RNAcentral describes it as "partial Bacterial large subunit ribosomal RNA". It matches the Rfam family "Bacterial large subunit ribosomal RNA", at positions 1422 to 1701 of the family's 2925-position model. Lineage: Eukaryota; Viridiplantae; Chlorophyta; Trebouxiophyceae. The record is from RNAcentral.